UACGUAGGCAGCGAGCGUUGUUCGGAAUUACUGGGCGUAAAGAGUGUGUAGGCGGUGCUCUAAGUUCGGGGUGAAAUCUCCUGGCUUAACUGGGAGGGUGCGCCGGAAACUGGGGUGCUCGAGCGUGGGAGAGGAAAGCGGAAUUCCUGGUGUAGCGGUGAAAUGCGUAGAUAUCAGGAGGAACACCUGUGGUGUAGACAGCUUUCUGGACCAUUGCUGACGCUGAGACACGAAAGCGUGGGUAGCAAACAGG
RNAcentral lists this ribosomal RNA (253 nucleotides) under uncultured bacterium. RNAcentral describes it as "partial 16S ribosomal RNA". It matches the Rfam family "Bacterial small subunit ribosomal RNA", at positions 524 to 776 of the family's 1533-position model. The record is from RNAcentral.